This 417-nucleotide ribosomal RNA is filed under the name uncultured cyanobacterium. RNAcentral's name for it is "bacterial SSU rRNA". It matches the Rfam family "Bacterial small subunit ribosomal RNA", at positions 364 to 795 of the family's 1533-position model. Lineage: Bacteria; Bacillati; Cyanobacteriota. The record is from RNAcentral.
UUCCGCAAUGGGCGCAAGCCUGACGGAGCAAGACCGCGUGGGGGAGGAAAGCCUUUGGGUUGUAAACCCCUUUUCUCAGGGAAGAAGAAAGUGACGGUACCUGAGGAAUCAGCCUCGGCUAACUCCGUGCCAGCAGCCGCGGUAAUACGGAGGAGGCAAGCGUUAUCCGGAAUGAUUGGGCGUAAAGCGUUCGUAGGUGGCAAUUCAAGUCUGCUGUCAAAGACAGUAGCUCAACUACUGCAAGGCAGUGGAAACUGAAUAGCUAGAGUGCGGUAGGGGCAGAGGGAAUUCCCGGUGUAGCGGUGAAAUGCGUAGAGAUCGGGAAGAACACCGGUGGCGAAAGCGCUCUGCUGGGCCGCAACUGACACUGAGGGACGAAAGCUAGGGGAGCGAAUGGGAUUAGAUACCCCAGUAGUC